Molecule: non-coding RNA, 336 nt
Organism: Macaca mulatta (Rhesus monkey)
Lineage: Eukaryota; Metazoa; Chordata; Mammalia; Primates; Cercopithecidae
Source: RefSeq, a predicted model, not a curated record
GGCACAAUAUUGGAAUUUUAAACAUUUUAAAAAGAUGACUACAGAAUAUAAAUUCAAGACCAUCUUAUUACCAAAGCAGAAAUUUAAAACUUACGCUUGGGAUGUAAACAGCUACAAAGAAUGAUGCUGUCUUCCAAAGAGAAAAUCCUAGGGGUUUUUGGAGAUAGAGACUGCCUCUACUGAAGUUCCACCACCGAACACAUAUCUACUAAGUUGAUGAUUUCUUUGUAACUAUUUUUGGCCUUGGAAUGUAUGCCAUGAAGGUAUAUAAGGUAUAUACCAAAAGUUUCUUCAAUUUGUUUUUUUCUGUGUGAUUACAUUAUUAAUUCAAAACAA